Molecule: long non-coding RNA, 328 nt
Filed under: Phaseolus vulgaris (common bean)
Lineage: Eukaryota; Viridiplantae; Streptophyta; Magnoliopsida; Fabales; Fabaceae
Description: long non-coding RNA (PVUL_LNC004591)
Source: RNAcentral
GCUUUUAAUAUAAGAAAUUACUUAAGGUCUUGCUCAAGGUACGAGAUCGAGCUAACUCAAGGUGUAAGAUCAUGCUAAAAUUCCCAAAUUUGUGGAGGAAAACUAGAGAUACUCAAGACAUGAAGUCGAGUUAAAGAUGCAUAAACAUGGAAUCAAGCUAGUAAUACCCAAGGAGUUAAGUCAAACUAAAGAUAUUUAGGUGUAAAGUGAGAUGUUUUUAGUGUGGAGCUAAACUGGAGAUACUUAAGGCAUGAAGUAGAGUUACAAAGACUCUAGAAAUGGAGCUUAGCUAGAAAUAUUCAACGAUGUGUAAAUUGGCAAGUUGUUA